UCUACUUUGAGUUAAUUUUUAUAUAUGGUGUAAGAAAAUAGUCCAGUUUCAUUAUUUUACAUAUAACUAUCCAGUUUUAUCAGCACCAUUGGUUGAAAAGACUGUGUUUUCCUUAUUGUAUAUUUUUGCCUCCUUUGUCAUAGGUUAAUUAAUCAUAUAAAUGUGGAUUUAUUUAGGGGGUCUCUAUUCUGUUCUUAAUAAAAUAGAAUUAAGUUCUCUUCCUAAUUUGUUGAUCUAUCAGCUGCAAAUGUUAACCCCCAAGUAUAUAUAGUUUGUUUCCUCUGGAGAAAAGAGUUUUAUGAAGUUGAUAACCACUGUGUAAAGUAUAUUACCAACCUGUCAGUAUGUCUGUGUGCUAUGUCUAGUAUCCUGGGUGUUAGAGAAUGCCAGUGUUCCACCUAUCAAAGUCAUUAUAGAUAGAGAUUACCUGUGAUAUGCCAGGGCCUGGGGAUUCAGUACUGAAUACAACAGAUGAUCCUACCCUCAUGGAGGUGACAUUUAAGUGGGAGGAUAAACAUUAUGAUUUUAUAGACAUGGAUCUCAUUCUUCUUAGUCCUCUACCUACUUCAUCUUUCUCUUUGAUAAUAUGAUCAUUUAUAUUCUCCAUGAAAUAUUUUCCAAAGACUCCAGAAAUAUUAUUGGUAGGAUUCAUUUGGAGUAUAUACAUUUGUAAUUUUGUAUUGCCAUCUACUUUUUUAUGUGCAAAUGCCUUUUCUCCAUAGCUAGAUCUGAUCAUGUUUCUACUCACUAAACCUCUGAAACCAAAUAUGUGGUGUUUUCCUUCCAUCCAAUAACCAAUUCUCUAAUUUUCUCUAUAUGACUUGAAUAUCCUACAAUUCAAUCCAGUUCUGUCACUAAGUACUUGGAGUUGGCACAUAUCUUAUAAGUCAAGGGCUCAGGCCCACAAGAUUAUCCCAUUUCAGAUGCCCAUGGUAAGUCUCAGGUUUCCUUCUGUACUGCUGACCAACCAGUUAUAAAUUCAGGGGAUUCUCACAACUCCCUCUUCAGGUUUGAUAAUUUGCUAGAAGGGCUCACAGAACACAGGAAAAAAAAAUACCCUCAUUAGUUUAUUACAUAAGCUAGAACUCAGCAACAACCAAAUGGGAUAUAUAGGGCAAGGUAUAGGAGAAAAGAUAUACAACUUCCACGUCCCCUCCAUGUAUACCACCCUCCUAGCACUUUAAUGUGUUCACCAACCUGGAAGCUUUUUGAACCCCAUUGUUUACACGUAUUUAAAGGUUUACAGGUUUUUUUAAAGGUUCCAUUAUGUAGGUGUGAUUGGCUGAAUCAUUGGCCAUAGGUGAUGAACUCAAUCUCUAGGUCCAUGGGUGGGACUGAAAGUUUCAGGUCUCUAAUCACAUGCUUGAUAUUUCUGGCAACCAUCCCCCAUCCUGAAGCUGUGUAGGGACAUACACAGAGUCACCUUCUUAGGAUAAACUCAGAUGUGCUUGAAAGGAGAUUUUUUUUAUGAAUUACAAAAAAUAUUCCUGUUAUCCCUAUCACUCAGGACAUUCCAAAGGUUUUAGAAAAUAUGUAUCAGCAACUGGGGACAAAGACCAAAUAUGUAUUUCUUAUCACACUAGAGUCCUAAGUUUGUAAAGUCAAGGAUCACUGCACUUUUUUAUUAAAUUUUAUUUCGCAAACAUUUACAUACACAGAAAAAAGUAUAAAGGAAGAUAAAGCGAAUGCAUGUAGCCACCACACAGCUUAAGUAAGUGAAAUAUUAUCUGUAUAUUUGAAGUCCUCUGUGUUUUUCUCUCUGAUCAUGUCCUACUUCUUUUUUGCCUCUUCAAGAAGCCACUGUAAGGUAAGCUGUUUACCUUACAGUGCAUUUCCAACACAUCAACUACAUAUGCCCCUAGGCAAUAUGUAAUAAUAUUUUCUUGUGUGUUUUAAGAGCUUAUAUAACUAAUCUCAUACCAAUGUGUUCUUUGUUAACUUGCCUUUUUCCCUUAAUAUUUAUGUUCAUGAAAAUCCUUCACACUGAUAGGUAUAGCUGUAUUUUAUUCCUUUUCUGUUAUAUAGUAUUUUAUUGUUUGAACACACCACAAUUUAUUCAUUCCUUUAUUCGUGGAUAUUUAGUUUUUUUCUAACUUUCUACUCUUUUAAGUCCUUAUACCCCAUAAUUUAUUAUAGAUGAAAGGUAAUCAGUAAAUACACUAUAUAAUUUUUAUUUCAAAUUAUAAGUUAUCAUUAUAUUACCAUCUCAUAUGGAAAGCUGUUCAUCUCAUUUAGCUAACUGUGUUUUUCAGUUUCAAUGUCUUUCAUAGUGAGGUGUUAUAACCCCAAACUCAGCGACCCUCCCCUGUAUUUUCCAGUGGUCAAAUUUCAAGCUGAAAUCACAAACAGAAAGAGUGAGAGCUAGCGUUGAGGUGAAUUUUUUCAGAGCUUUAUAGUAAAUUAAAGGUCCAAAGAGAAUUUGAUUAGGAAUUUAAUGAUAGGACUUAACUUGCGGUGAAACAUGGCUACUGAAUGCCAUUUCUCAGCACACAAACACUGCUAUUUUGCAGUCUGUCUGCAUUACCUUCUAGACGGGACUUAACUUGUAUUUAUAUUUGAGUUAUUUAUAAAUAAAUCACUACUUGCAUGGCUCAUUUUCUAUAAGGAACACUUCCAGAAUUGCUUUAAAGACAGCAAUUGGCUUGUGGCUGUUAUUACUCAGUGCUCCACAAGACAGGCCCCCUGUGGAUGCUGAAGGGCAAAGAACACUUGCUGCCACUCUGCUGUGCUCUACAUGGGUGUAUGCUUUGCUUUUCUGGCAUGGCUUGAUUUAACCUACUGGGAAAUCCACCCAAUUGGCUUAGAUCUGUUAGAGUCUCUCAAUACUGGGUACAGACUGUGCGGAGAAUACAAAUGUGCCAAUAAAAAAAAUAGCUUCACCGAUGACUAGUUUCCCCCCUUCCCCAUAUUUCUGAGUUGUGUUGCAAAUCAAAUAGACAAAUGUAGAAAUUCAAAUGUCUGUGUGACUUUUUGUUGUUUGGCAUUUAUCUCAGCGAAUGAGGAGAUGAUGUCAUAUCACAGGAGAGGUGUGAUGAUAAGUGUGAGGACAAGUCAUUCCUUAACAAGGGAAGAUUAAUGUGCUGUUCUAAAAUGGAACUAUUACAUGUGCUGUUUACUCAAAAGGAGUAUGAAAAGUGAACAAAUGGAGCUGUCAGACAAAGUGCUGAUGACAUACAAAAUAUUGAAAUAAACAGCUGAUGAUGCAUGAAGCAUUGAAAAACAUGUUGAUACCCCUGUUGGCUCCAUUGCUCAUUUAUUUCCAUGUGAUUGUCCUCUUCGGAAUGUGAUAUAGCUUUUGCUCUGUUAACAGUCUUCCAGGUUGGGUCUUCAGAGUGACAAGGAGUCAAGGAGUUGGGCAAUUUUCCAUUGACUAUAAAUUAAGAGAGAUAACAAAUUAAAAGAACUCAAAAAAGGGAAAGCGGUUUUCAUGGUUCACAAGAAAUUAUUUUUGACUGAAAAUUAAUUAAAUCAGUCAUCAUGAUUAUGGAAAUGGCUAGCUACUCAGAAAUCUGUUCCGUUUUCUAUACACACACCAUGAACACAUCGCUCAGCAUUCUUUGCAGUUGAGUUAGGGCCAUGCGCCUAGUUUAGACAAAGACGAUGUGCAUGUAAGUAUUGAAAGUCAACUCCAGACUUAGCACCUAAAAUCUGCUGUGAGAUCCUUCAUUUGUUUGCUCUGUCUGGAAGUGAAAGACUCCAAAAUGGCAAAACCACAUAAUGGAAGGAACUCAGAUCCAUGAGUUCUCGCCUGAAGAAGAGGCAGCCAUGAAAGCUGCCGAAUGCAUAAGAACUUUCUAUGCUCAAGAAAUAAAACUUUAUAUUGUCAACAAUAAAAUGUGGGUGUUUGUUCAAGCAACUAGCAUUUCUAUCACAAUAUUGUAAGCAAAUAAGUUUCAUUAAAAUUACAUUUUUUGUUUUAGAUAAGUUAUAUGAUCUACUAGGUUUUAGAUUUCUUUAGUUAAUAGAACUUUAAUUGGAUAUUCCUACAACUGAAUCGAAACAAUGCAGUUUAAGAGGAACAGACAAUGGAUUUCACUUACAAAAAGGAGACUUUAUGACUCACUUGAGUUUUGAUUUCUGUUUCUCAGAAAUCCUACAGUUUCUUAUCAUUCAGAUCAAUCCUUUGUAAAUAAUUUUUUGUAGUUUCUAGAUCACUUUGGCCUCUAAAAUACAAUAAAUCAUUAGAAAUGAAUGAUAGUUUUAAAACUUUCUGACAGUUAUAGGAAGAAAUCAUAAAAUUUAAAAUGGGCCAAAAAGAUUGUUUAAGCACAUCCUUCUGGGUUAUUCCAUUCUAUGGUUCCAUGGAUUCUCUAUUUCUUUUGUUGUCUUUGAGCUACUUUAUAACUCUUUCAGUUGCAGAUAACUAAUAACAAUGCAAAUGAUUCUUGUCCAUAGACAUACAAAAGAAUUUUGCAUAGUGAAAAGAAGAUUGCCCUCCCUGGUGCAUGACAUCGAUCCCUCCCACAGAAUAAGUCAGUUUUGUAUCUAUUUAUAACUGUAUUUCAGUAUUAUUGUCUUUAUAUGUGUGGUUCUUUGAUUACUCUUUUGAUCCAUUUAUAGUAUCCUAUGGAUUGCCUCAUUAAUUGAUGGAUUAAAUAAAAUCUUUGAUGUGUUCAUUUUAUAUUUGUAUGGGAGUCAUGAAUAUGUCCUCUUUUUAAAAUCACCCUUUAACAGUUUUGGAGGUCCCGUCAAGAUGCCCAGGGAAUUCACCUGCCGUAGUCUGGUAAUAUCAUUGCCUAAUCCCAAAACCUCUUGCUCAACUCCCAGUGGUUGAAUCCCAAGUGGCAAUAGAACUAUAAUUCAUUCUCUUUUUCUGGAAAAUUUUUUUCCUUUCCAGUGAUUUUGUGUUUUGUUUUUUGUUUCUGGAUUGUACACGACUGACGUGAGUUAUGAACCACUGGUGGCAGCAGUUACUGGAAAUUUGGUUUAAUGGUCUGUUUUUGAUCUCUGUAGUUGAGUGAGAGAGAGAGAAUCUGGUUUGUUGUUCUUUGUAUUUGUUGAUUUAUUUAUUUUUCAGCUUAAAUUACUGCAGAAUUUUGUGCACUGAGGAGAAGUAUAAUUUUAAUAUCUGGACUAUUAAGGUUGUGUUUCUCUCUUUACAGCUGACUUGUAGCUAAAGUUUUAAAUCUGAAACUAAGCACUUUAUGAGCCUGUAUGUCUAUAUUUCUUUGAUUCAGAAAGGUUUUUACUUCUUGUUUUGGUGUAAAAUAUCUUCCUAGAGGAUAUUUAAUAAAUUAGAUUGUGAAGUCUCUCAAAGGAGUUUUGCUCUGAUUAUCAGCACAAAAAUUGAGCACUACUAAAAUUUUAGAAAAAUAAUAAAUUUUAAACUUCUAAUACUUUAAAUGUACUUGACUUUAAAAAUUCUUAUAGAAACUGAAAAGAAAUUCUUACAGAAACUAAGUUAGAAAUAUUUUAAGAAUUCAGGUUUAUGUAAUAAAGGUUAAUCUUUUGUAAGUGAGACUAGAUCAAUAAUUUUGGCUUAAUAAAAAGAGCUAUGUCUUCUCUGAGUUAUCAAUGUUAAGUAAAAUAUAAGCAUGUUUGUCUUUUAGGUUUGUGUUUUCUAUGCUGAUACAGGUUUACUGAUCAAAUAAAACAGCAUUACUAUCAUAUAAAGUUUAAGAUUAUGAAACAAGUAAAUUUGUAUUCACCAGGAGUAAUGUUUGUGACAAAAGUUUAUUUUGACAGUAAUUAUGUUUUAUAGUGUGUCUGCUUGAAGAAAAUUUCCAAUAUCUGUAGUUAACUUAUCUUGAAUUGAUAUUAAAUUGAUGGUUAAUCAUUGGAGACCUCGAAAAUUUCUAAGUAAUACAGGUGCUGGUUACUAACCAUAUUUAAGUUCAUGUACUUUAUUCUCAUUUGUAUGUGCUAUUGAGAAGUCACUGGUGCAUUAAUGCAUGUGUUUACUUUUGCCACUUUGAGAAAGUAUCUAAAAUACUUGUAUGACAUUAGAAAGUUGUGUGAUGUGUGCCCAUGUGCUUUACUCAUCCACUAAAAUGCUUGCAUAUGACAGACAGUUAUUAAUGAGCCACUUCCCACCCCAGUUUUCUCUGUGAUUAUUUAUUGAAGAGGUUAAUUAAUAUGAGUGAUUGAAACUACACUGGGAAUGAUAACAGAGAAAUGCAUCUGUUUGUACUUUAGAGGAAAAGAGUGUUUUUGUUUUAAAGUAGCAGUUUUCAGGGUUUGUUUGUUUGUUUGUUUAUUUUUCAGUUCCUGAACCCAUUUCACCCUUAUACUCUUGAGAUUCAUUGAAGAUCCCAAGGAGUUUCAGCUUAUGUGAAUUAUAAAUAACAAUCUUAACCAUGUGAGGAAUUGAAACAGAAAUUAAAAAAAAAUGCUUAUUGAUCCAUGUUAAGAUCACAAAGAUGAAUGCAUUGUAUAUGAAUGUAAAUAGUAUCUACUAUGAAACAAGUUAUUACCUCACAAACAUUCUGAGAUAUGUCCACGUUAAAACAUGAGUUUGCUCCAUAAUAUGAACAAACAUAAAGGUUGAAAUUUGAAAAGUGAAUUUUUUUUGGCUUUGGUUUAUAAUACUGCAUCUUAAAAAAGCUAUGAGGGGCACCUGGGUUGCUCAGUUGGUUAAGCAUCCAAUUUUGGCUCAGGUCAUGAUCUCACAGUCCGUGGGCUCCAGCCCCGCAUCAGGCUCCGUGCUGACAGCUCAGAACCUGGAGCCUGAUUUGGAUUCUGUGUCUCCCUCUGUCUCUGGCCCUCCCCAGCUUGCACUCUGUCUCUGUCUCUCUCUCUCUCUCAAAAAUAAAUAAAUAUUAUUUUUUUUUAAAAAAGCUAUGAAAUAGGGGCGCCUGGGUGGCACAGUUGGUUGAGCUUCUGACUUCGGCUCAGGUCACGAUCUCCCGGUCGAGGAGAUCGAGCCCUGCGUCUGGCUCUGUGCUGACAGCUCAGAGACUGGAACCUGCUUCAGAUUCUGUGUCUCCCUCUCUCUCUGCCCUUCCCCACUGAUGCUCUGUCUCUCUCUGUCUCAAAAAUAAAUAUAACCAUUAAAAAAAAUUUUUUUUAAGCUACGAAAUAUGUUGUAGUGUUAGCAGAGCCUACUCAGUGAGUUUGCUGCCUUGGUUUACUGAUUGUCUUCACCUGCAAUAUGAAAGGUUAUUCUUAAACUUUUUAAAGUUUAUUGAUUUUGAGAGAGAGAGUGAGUGUGAGCGAGGGAGGGGAAAAGACAGAGGGAGAGAGAGAAUCCCAAGCAGGUCCUGUCAGGGAAGAUCCUGAUGAGGGGUUGGGUCUCAUGCACCGUGAGGUCAUGACCUGAGCCAAAACCAAGAGCUGGACACUUCAUGAGCUGGGGCACCCAGGCACCCCGGAAUGUUAUUCUUUACCUUCUGUGUAGUCUAUAUAGAUUAGCAGAGACUCUGUAUUUUACCAAAAAUAAUUUUCUGUGCUUUUCAUUGACUUAUUUGACUUACUUUCAAGGACAUAUUUCUUUAUUAUGCAAAAUGAAAAAAGAAUGAACGAAGGUUCCUCACUUACGAAAGAGCUAAGGUUUCUAGAAGCAUCCUACUUUCCAUGUUUAUUUUUAAAUGUUUUAUUGUUCCUGUACUUAAACAGGUAACCAAGAGAGUGCCCCAGAUUUCCUCCUAAACAUUUCACCUUCCAAAUUCAGGUCCUAAAUGUAGAAAAAAUAAAAUAAAAUUUUCAGCAUAUCUUGUACUCCCAAACUAUCUUUGGGAUUUCCCAGAGGGUUCCUGAAAAAUCACAAAGAUUUGUUCUUUUGCUUAUAAAAAAAAGAUGCUAGAGCUAUUUAGAUCUUUUUGCUACCCUGUUAUAAGAGUUGUGGAGCAAAAGCUGUCAAAUUAGAAGAGACAUUCAGUCUUCCCUAGGUUAAGUUUGCAAAUAUUUCAGAAAUCAUAUGCUUCAUUUGAAGUCCCUUGUCUGUCAGUGUUUUGCUUUCCAUAAUAUAUUUUAACCUCUCAUGAAACUCUGAUCAAAUUUCUUAUGAAAUAGUCUGUCAGAUUUUGUAUAAUUGUCAGAGUCCUAGACUGUUUUAUGUGAUGAUGUGAAGCACCAACUAUAGCAUUAUCUGUCACUUUUCAGUUUUUACUUUGCCACAGCUUUACUUUUUUCAUUUGAGUCUGUUGAAAAAGACAGUUGUCCCAAGGUUUCUUAUGCCCUUGUGUGUCUUGCUGGGAAUGCAAAAAUUUCAAGGCCCUGACUGCCCUUUCACCCUGCCACUUCUCAGGGCCGUGUUCUCAUGAUUCACUUUAAGAAAGAAGUAAUAUUUCUUUCUGAGACAAAAAUUAAGGCUUGCUUACUGCUUUCUAUAGAAGCAAUGGAUUUCCCCAAACUCAGUGUUCUUCAGAUCGUAACAUAAACCCUCUGCCUGCACAGCAUCCAUCUGGGCUUUCUCUGUCACCCCAGUGGGAUCUGGGGAUCUUAUGCAAUUUUAUGUUCAUAUGCUUGUUGUGAUAUGAGGAAUAAAGUCCUUUGUCUCUGACCAAAGAGUCUCAUAUCUUCUGUCAGAAUCCAUAAGAAGGUAACAGGAUAUCUCAGUAGCUUUCAGGUAGGGUGAAAUCAAAUCCCACACUGAACAAAAGCUAGCAUCUUCUAGGCCAGUGGUUCUCAAGUGGAGAUGAACAUCACACUUAGCCAAGAAAUUUUACACAUGUUUAGACCCUACUACUGACUUGCUGAAUCUCUCUUCUUGAUAUUCUUGCUAUAUUCUUCAUAUAUGAAAUAUUAUUUCUCAGAAAUAUUGUUGCUAUAUCUUUUUUUCCCUUAAAACUAUUCUAUUUGUUUAUAUCAGAUAUAGCAUUUAAUGACAUCUUUGAAAACAGACUUAAUCAUUACUCUUAGAGACUUAUAUUUUGGAAGACUUUGUCAUCUUUGGUUUUGAUGUCAUAGAAAUAGUCAUACUGCUGUUAAUUGCAUUAUUCCUAUCAGAAACCUCAUCCAAUUUUCACAUUUGAAAAUUGUAAUAAAUUAACCCCAGUAAUUAGUUCUCUGUCAUCUACAGAUAGUAUUUGUUUUACUCUGACGCUUGCUUGUAUGGAGGCUCAGCUGUAAGCUACAGGAAAAAGUUUGUGUCCAACAAAGGAGAGUUUCAGAGCCUCAAGAAAAAGGACUGUACUUCAAACUGUUGAUGUAUCUGGGCUGAUCUUACAUUGCUCAGAGUAAGGGUCAGCAAAUUAUGGCCUGCUGGACAAAUAUAUCCAUUGUCUGUUUCUGUAAAUAAAAUUUUAUCGAAACAUGGUCACAUACACUUAUUUAUGUGUAUUGUCUCUGGCUAAUUUUUUUGCUACGGUGAUGGAAUUGAAUAGUUGUAAUAGAGAACAUCUGGCUUGCAGACCUUAAAAUAUUUACUAUCUGAGAUUUUACAGAAAAAGUUUGCUCUCAGACUAUACCUGUAGAUGGGUCUAGAUUUUCAUGACUGCUUUUCAUUGAAAGUAGAUGGCUUAAUGACACUGGUAAUGUGAGAUCAAGGAGAUCAAGAAUUAAUUAAAUAGGUCUGAAUGAAUUGAUGAUGAAAUUUUUAUGACAGUAAAUUUUUGUAAUAUUGUAUUUUUCUGUUUUCUGGAUAGAUGAGGGAGUCCUAUCUUUUUAAAAGCUAUUUAUGCCCCACAGUAAUUUAGUAAAUGCUGCUUUUGUAAACUAAAAUGAAAAAUUGUAAGUAAUAGCUGAUUCUCUCAGACUUUCUGGAAUUCCAAAGCACUUAGUCUUUACUUUUGGUGAUAUGAUAGUUAUGUGUAUAGUUAUGUGUAUAGGUUCAGUAAAAAUCUGUCCUCCAUUUUCCAUGAUUAUAAUUGGACAAAACAAUUAUACAACCAAUGCCUUGCUUGAAAUGUCACUUUUGAAAAUAAUACACUUUUAAUCAAACAUGACAAGUCACCCUUAAAGAACUAAAGUUGAUUUUACAUAUGGAGCCAAUGGCUAGAAUGCAUCCUCAGGAAUAUUGACUCUCAGAAUUCCAGUCCUACAGGUAGUAAGAUGGUCACUUCCUUGCAGCAUGGGCUCUGAAAAAUUUGGGGACCCUUAGAACAGAGGAAUCCAUUUAAAUUUAUAAGGUACUGGAGAUGAAAUCUGGAGUAGAUAUUUUCUUGGGUUUGAUUCUCCAGUCUUAGAAGAAUAAAUGAGAUGUUCAUAAAGGUCAGACCAGAGAUUCCGUAUGAAAACUUUCAGACAGAAGUUAAGUUUAAAGCCUUGGUGGUUGCUUGAUAUUGUACAGUUCUAGGUUGGCAAAAUAAGCUCAAAGAGAUUUAUUAACACUCUUGUUGCGCCUGUGUAAAUAAUCAGGCCAAACAUAAUGGGAUCACCAUUUUUUGUGUGAUGAAGGAUAAUCCUUCUUUGAGAUAAUUAUGAUCUUAAAAUGGAGGGUGACUAGAGACUGUAUUAAUGUCUUGCUGCUGCUGUAAAAAAUGUAUCAUGAAUUUAGUGACAACAUAUUUAUUAUCACAUUAUAUAGUUAUGAGGUCAGAAGUCAGAAAUGGGUCCCAGUAGGCUAAGAUGAAAAUGUAAACAAGCCUGCAUUUCCACUGAGGCCCUAGGGAAUAAUCUGUUUCCUUGUCUUUUUUUUUUUUUUCCCGGAGGCUGCCUGAGCUCCUUGGCUCAUGGCCUCCUUCCUCCAUUUUCAAAGCCAGCAGUUAUACCAGCUCAACCUCUGCUUCUAUCAUCACCUCUUCUCUGAUUCCAAUUCUCCUAACCCUGUCUUUUCUUAUAAAGAUCCUUGUGAUUACAUUGGGCCUGUCUGGAUAAUCCAGGAUAAUCUUCCAGCCUCAGGAUCCUCAAUGUAAACACAUCUGUAUGAUCUCUUUGACCAUGUACAAGUAGCAUAUUCAUUGGCUCUGGGGAUUAGGACAUGGACAUUUAGGGGCCAUUAUUCUGUCUACCAUAAUGUGACAAGUCCGAAAUGGGCUGGAAAGAUUACCGAGUAUCUUCUUGAAAACUAAGUGUUGCCUGGUUAUUUGAUUUUUAUGGCAUUUCUGCAGCAUUCAUUGCCUUUAAGCUUUGGAACAACUCUGUAAAUUGCAGGUAACUGAUACAAAGCAGAGGAUUCUUGAAUAUAGACAUCUAAGUGCAUUUUAUCCCAUGGAAAUACAAUGGAUUUCCCAGCAGUACCACAACAAUCUUCAUGGAAUAAGCCAAUUUUGUAAAUUCAUUUCACCAUUACCACUUAUAAAGGUUUAGUUCUUUGAAAUCCCCUUUGAACUAAUUAUAACAUCUUUUUGGUUUCCUCAUUAAAUAAUAAAUUACAGUCUUUGACAUAUAUUCAUUUUAUAGUCUAUGAAAGUUGUGAUUAUACCCUCUCUUAACAUGUAGCAUUUAACAUGGAGAUUCACAAUCAUAUACAAAAAUAGAUAGGAUAGGAAAAAAAGUUUCAUCACUUAACCCCAAUAAUAUCAAGCUAAAGUCAGUCCUGUUCUUUCUACACUUUCUUCCGGUUUCCUCUGUCCUGUUAUUCUGAAGUGAAUUCCAGAGACCAUAUUAUCUUAUCCAUAAGUAUUUAUUAUGUCCCUUUAAUUAUAAGGAAUCAUUUAACAUAACCACAAUACUAAAAUCUCACCUAAAAUUAAUAAUUUCUUAAUAUAAUCAAAAUGUCCAGUGUUCAAAUUUCUGAUGAGAUUUAUUUACAAAUGACUUUUAUCUGUUGUUGUUGUUGUUGUUGUUGUUGUUGCUGCUGCUGUAACUUAAAAAUCCAGGACAGGGGCGCCUGGGAGGCUCAGUCGGUUAAGCAUCUGACUUCAGCUCAAGUCAUGACCUCACGGUCUGUGAGUUCAAACCCCAUGUCAGGCUCUGUGCUGACAGCUUGGAGGCUGGGGCCUGCUUCAGAUUCUGUGUCUCCUUCUCUCUCUCCCCCACUUGUGCUUGCUCUCUCUCUCAAAAGUAAAUUAAAAAAAUAAAAUAAAUACAAAAAAAUAAAAUAAAAAUAAAUAAAUAAACCCAGGACACAAAUAAGAUUCAUACUUUGAGAUGUUUUGAUAUAUAUAUGUUAAGUCUCUCUUUUUUGAAACUAUUUUAUUGAUGUGUAUUCUCUGUGCAAUAAAUCGCACCUACUUUAAGUGUACAAUUUGAUGAGUUGUCUCAAUAUCUUUUAUUUAUUUUUAUUUAUUUAUUUUUUAACAUUUAUUUAUUUUUGAGACAGAGACAGACAGAGUAUGAACGGAGUAGGGUCAGAGAGAGAGAGAGGGAGACAAAGAAUCUGAAGCAGGCUCCAGGCUCCAACCUGUCAGCACAGAGCCCCACUCGGCGCUCGAACUCACAGACGGUGAGAUCAUGACCUGAGCCGAAGUCGGAGGCUCAACCGACUGAGCCAAUCAGGAUAUCCAUCCCUCCCGAGCCUCAUACUCCCUCAACCUCAAAGAAACUGGAAUAAAUAUUGAUAGAAAAAGAACAAAAGAACAAAGGUUUCUAUAUCAAGUCUUAAAAUGUUUCCCUUGAAAUAAUAACAAGAGCACUUGUAUGAGCACACUGUAGAUGAAUCCAAUGUGCCAGGUCAUGCUUUGGAAGGCUGAGUGUGAGACCAGUAAGAAACCCAUAACUCUCUGUUCUACCCAGUGGUUACCUGACUCUGUGUUUAUGUGCAUAAUGAUAGGUUCUUACAUUCUCAUCAGUAGCCAGCAUGCCUGUUAUUCUGUUUAUACUUAGAGUGAUACCAGAAGUAUCACUUUUCUGUUGAUUAAUUUAUAUUGUCUAAUUCUGUAGCAUGUUGCUAUGCUCCCUGUCCCUCUUAAUUACUUAUUGUGACAAUUAACCGACUAAAAACAGUUUCUCUCGCAAAGAUUUCCAGAGGGAAAAACAAAAACAUAAAAAACAUUGUAAAUGAUGCCAUUUUCUGCCUAAGCCUCUCUUGAGUCCCAGCCAUGAUCAUGUUACUUGUUACAACAGAUCUGCUGGCAAACAAACUCUGAGGGCAACGCAUUGAGACACUGCAGACCUUUAAAUGUGAAGAAUUUAGUCCUAAACAUGUGUUUGUGGGCAUGUGCAAUAUUCACUCCUUUUAGAAUGUCUCAGACUGACCCCAAACAACCUUUUUAUGGAAUCCUACCCUCAAGGACUAGUAUUAGUUAUAUAAUUGCCCUACUAUUACCCUGUCUCUCAGGGUGUAAGUCUGCCUUUGAGACCAUUGUAGUAACUUAAAAUAUUUGUUAACCAGCAAGUAGACAGACUUAGGAUAAGCUCCUAUUCUAGGAGGCCAUAAAUUUUCCAUUGUACCCGUAAUGUCCAAUUUAACCCCUCAAUAUUUCUCUCAACAACUUUUUUUCCUAUCAAAUCUCAAUAGCAAAAGCAAAACAAAACAAACAAUAAUUGAGAGAAAGAAUUGAGAUAGUCUAACGAGAAUACUUCUCUGAAGUUUUAUUACAAUUCUAGCUAGGAAAAAAAUGUAUAUAUAUGGAUAUGUGGUGCUGUUAGGAUCUCUGUGGCAUGUGAAUUAGAGAGCACUUAUAAGAGAGCUUUGUGAGGUGUACCUGGGGAGGAACAUUUGGAUUAAAUAAUAAAGAAAGAUAACACAUUGAUCCAAGCUAUUAUUUGUAUUUUUAAUUUGCACAUUAUGUAAAACUGCUCCCCUCAGAUUUUGGAGAAGCUUGUUAACAAUUCCCCACAGGACUGCUGGGUUAACUCCUCUGGGGUUGUAUUUAGAGAAUCCACCUUCUUAACAGGCUAUUGUAAGUGUGGCUCUGGUUCAGGGAAGUUUGAGGACCACUAUAUAUGCUAAAAUAGUGAAUAGAAAUAUUCAUUGAGUGCUAUGUGCUGUACUGGAUGCUGAAACGCAAGAAUAAAUUAAUCAGACUCACUUUGAGAAUUCCCAAAGGCAAGUUAUAACACCAAAGAAAGUGAACACAGUUUUGUAUCCCUAUAGAAUUUAUUCAAACUGUACCACUUGAGAACUGAGGUUUUAAGUAGGUUAGUUUUAGCUACUUUAAGUGGAAAUGGAUUUUCUUAUCAAUUAAAUUAAUCUGAAUAAUUUAUUUAAAAGGUUCUAAAAUCUGAAUAAUUUAUUUAAAUAAAUUUAUUUAAAAGGUUUACUAACAAUUACAGUAAGAAAGUUUUGAAAAGUUGUCUGCCUAAGCCAGUCUAAGAUGUUUUGGUAGGCAAAGUUGUGUCUUUGGGGCCCCGUAUUUUCCUUUCUUUGUCUCUAGCAUCUCCCCAAUGUUUCUUCAAGGCUCCCGUGACCUCCUGGCCCUUCCUUUGCUCUCCUGUCAAAAUUGCUCAAAUGAUAUGGGUAUAAUGAGAGUGCUAAGAUGGUAGUCAAGAGAAAUGGGUUUGCACUGUGCCUCUGAUACUAAAUAAAUUAUAUGGCUUUGAGCAAGUUCCUUGAACUCUCUUUGAGUUUCCUUACCUGAAAAAAAAUAAAGGGUAGAGUUUUAGGAGCCGUGAUAUGUUGUCCAGUCCUCUUUCUAUGAUUCAUUGAGUUGUCUGUGCAUUGCACUUUAAGAUGAGGAUGGAGGUCUUCGUUUGGCAGGAGGAGAGAUUGCAUGAAGAGGAGUCACGGAUGUAUUGCUUAUGAAUUUUGAGCAGGGAUCUCAGCAGGGUUCUUUAGAGCUAGUGAGGAGUCAGAGCACUGGGUCUGAGUAAGCUUAGCUCUACCUCUGACUUGGUGUGUGAAAUAUGAACAUAUCCCCUGGCUUCCCUGGGAUUUAUUUUUCUCACUUUGGGGUGGAGACAGCAAUCACAACCUUUCUCGUGGUGUCAUUGACAUUACCGAGGGGAUGAGAAGAUGUUUGUAAGGAACAUGGUGGGCAUUCCAUAAAUAUGUCUCUAUUCACUGUGAAGGUGCAGUUUAUUCAAUGCCUCGCUUUACCUUCCCAAAGUUGGUUUAUUUAACAAGCACACAGAGAACUCCUAAUAUUCUAGGAACUAAUCUAAGAGUUUGAUUUUAACAGUAACUCUAUUAAUCCUCAUAACAAGACUGCAAGGAGCUAUUAUGAUCCCAUUAGACAGUUAAGGAAUCUAAGACUCAUAAUCUGCCCACAGUCACCCUCAUAGCAAGCAAGUCUGGGUCCACAGCCUGUGCUUUCAAUCAUUGUUCUCCCAGCUUAGAAGGUCAGAAAACAAGAAAUGGAAUGGAAUGCGGGCAAGUCAACUGUGUUAUUUGUCAAAGGCUGCAUAAAUUUGGUGUAUCAGAAAGAUAUCAUAGUAAUUUAGAAAACGUCUAAAAUUGUAAAUGUUAACCUACAAAUAGUCCAACCACCAGGUGUUGCUUUUGAAGAGACAUUAGUCCCUUAGGAAUAUUUACACAGCAUCUUAAAUAUGUAUAGCAACCCUUCGCAGUAAAACCAAAGGGGGAGGACAUUCAGAAUCUUGAGAUAGGAGUUGCAACAUUUCUUAAACACUCUCUUUCCUGCAUGGCUUCCCAUCUCACUUCUUCUAGGAGUGGUGCUCACAAAGGUCUCCCCUGCUGGUCUUCUAACUCCUAAAAAUCUUCCCCAGCUCAACAGAAACAACAGCCUACCUGCAGCCCCAGGUGCCUUGCCUUCUCUCUCUUUAUUAUUUAUAUCAUUAUGCAUUAUCUUAUUUUCUUAAAUCCCUUUUAAGAGACUUAAGGAAUACUCUAAGAGAGUACAAAUGUAGCAUGCUGCAAGGAUAGGUCUUGUUAUAGAAGUAAUCACUAAGGCCUGUUGCUUACCUGGUUUCCCUUAGUCUUGUGCAUGGAAUCUUGACUGUGAUGGUCAGGUUUUCUUUUAGCUGGAGAUUUUACUGGGGCUUCUGGGUGGCUCUGUCUGUUAAGCGUCCACAUCCUGAUUUUGGCUCAGGUCAUGAUCUCACGGUUCGUGAGUUUGAGCCCCAUGGCAGGCUCUGAGUUGACAGCCUGGAGCCUGCUUGAGACUUUUUCCCUCUUCCUCUGUCUCUGCCCGUCCCCGACUUGCUCUCAAAAAUAAAUACAAAUUUAAACUGGAGAUUUUAGAAAACAUGAAAAUGAUUUGCUAAGAAUAACUAUGGAUAUGAACUACUGUAUCUACCAUUUAAGAUAUGAUAAAACCCAGCACAAUUAUUCACAAUAAACCGAAUGAUCAUUAUUUCUAAUAUGAAUUUCCAGUCUUGUCUUGGGAGCAAA
This is a long non-coding RNA of Acinonyx jubatus (cheetah), 15994 nucleotides long. RefSeq lists it as uncharacterized. The transcript is spliced from 3 exons. The record is from RefSeq and is a predicted model, not a curated record. Lineage: Eukaryota; Metazoa; Chordata; Mammalia; Carnivora; Felidae.